GUGUCAGCAGCCGCGGUAAUACAGAGGGUGCAAGCGUUAAUCAGAAUGACUGGGCGUAAAGGGCGUGUAGGUGGUUGACUAGGUUUGAUGUGAAAUCCCCGGGCUUAACCUGGGAAUUGCGUCGAAAACGGGUCGACUGGAGUGAGAUAGAGGGUUGUGGAAUUUCCGGUGUAGCGGUGAAAUGCGUAGAUAUCGGAAAGAACAUCAGUGGCGAAGGCGACAACCUGGAUCUUAACUGACACUGAGGCGCGAAGGCGUGGGGAUCAAACAGGAUUAGAUACCCUUGUAGUCC
Molecule: ribosomal RNA, 292 nt
Filed under: uncultured Rickettsia sp.
Lineage: Bacteria; Pseudomonadati; Pseudomonadota; Alphaproteobacteria; Rickettsiales; Rickettsiaceae
Description: partial 16S ribosomal RNA
Rfam family: Bacterial small subunit ribosomal RNA
Source: RNAcentral